UACGUAGGGUGCUAGCGUUGUUCGGAAUCAUUGGGCGUAAAGCGCGUGUAGGUGGUUAUUUAAGUCGAUUGUGAAAUCCCCAGGCUCAACCUGGGAAGUGCAGUCGAAACUAGAUAGCUAGAAGAUGGUAGAGGAAGGUAGAAUUCCUAGUGUAGAGGUGAAAUUCGUAGAUAUUAGGAGGAACACCGGUGGCGAAGGCGGCCUUCUGGACCAUUCUUGACACUGAGACGCGAAAGCGUGGGAGCAAACAGG
Molecule: ribosomal RNA, 252 nt
Filed under: uncultured bacterium
Lineage: Bacteria
Description: partial 16S ribosomal RNA
Rfam family: Bacterial small subunit ribosomal RNA
Source: RNAcentral